ACAGUCACAGGCGUUGCAUGACCCCAAGCAGAAGAACACUCACGUCAAUCCACAGAAUGGAACCCGAAAAUCCAGGAGACAACGCUAGCUAUUCCUGUGAACCUCUAGAGGAUCUGCACCUGCUCUUCAAGCAACAACCAUGAGGAAAGUAACUAGAAUUGUAGAUCCCCAUGGCCCUCCCUUGUCAUAAUUUUUCUCUUUACUGUUCUCUUACCCCCUUUCACACUCACUGCACCUCCUCCAUGCUGCUGUACUACCAGUAGCUCCCCUUACCAAGAGCUUCUAUGAAGAAUGCGGCUUCCCGAAUAUAUUAAUGCCCCAUUGUAUAGGAGUUUUUCUAAAUGAAACCCCACUUUCACCCCCACAUCCAUAUGCCCCGCAACUGCUAUAACUCUGCCACUCUUUGCAUGCAAGCAAAUACUCAUUAUUGGACAGGGAAAAUAAUUACUCCCAGUUGUCCUGGGGGCUUGGAGCCACUGUCUGUUGGACCUUACUUCACCCAUACCAGUAUGUCUGAUGGGGGUGGAGUUCAAGAUCAGGCAAGAGAAAAACAUGUAAAGGAAGUAAUCUCCCAAUUGACUCAGGUACAUAGCACCCCUAGCCCCUACAAAGGACUAGACCUCUCAAAACUACAUGAAACCCUCCAUACCCAUACUCACCUGGUAAGCCUAUUUAAUACCACCCUCACUGGGCUCCAUGAAGUCUCGGCCCAAAACCCUACUAACUGUUGGAUGUGCCUCCCCCUGCACUUCAGGCCUACAUUUCAAUCCCUGUAUCUUUAACCUCCUUGUUAAGUUUAUCUCUUCCAGAAUCGAAGCUGUAAAACUACAAAUCGUUCUUCAAAUGAAGCCCCAGAUGCAGUCCAUGACUAAGAUCUACUGUGGACCCCUGGACCAGCCUGCUAGUUCAUGCUCUGAUGUUGAUGACAUUGAAGGCACCCCUCCUGAGGAAAUCUCAACUGCACGACCCCUACUACGCCCCAAUUCAGCAGGAAGUAGUUAAGAGGUCGUCGGCCAACCUCUCCAACAGCACUUGGGUUUUCCUGUUGAGAGGGGGACUGAGAGACAGGACAAGCUGGAUUUCCUAGGCCAACUAAGAAUUCCUAAGCCUAGCUGGGGAAGGAGACCGCACCCACCUCUAAACACGGGGCUUGUAACUCAGCUCACACCCAACCCAUCAGGUGGUAAAAAGGGCUCACUAAAAUACCAAUUAGACUAAAAAGAGGAGGUAAAGAAAUAGUCAGAUCAUCUAUUGCCUGAGAGCACAGGGGGAGGGACAAUGAUCGGGAUAUAAACCUAGGCAUUUGAGCCGGAUGGGUAACCCCCUUUGGGUCACUUCCCGUUGUAUGGGAGCUCUGUUUUCACUCUAUCAAAUCUUGCAAUUGAAAAACAAAAAACAAAAAACACUGGUUUGCAGCGUAUGUAUACACACACACACGUGCAUAAACACAUAUUCACACAUAUGUACACAUACAUACAUGUAUGUGUUUUACAGCAAUUUGAGGUGGGCAUAGGCAUAUCAUUUAUUCAUUAACCCCCCCAACAGAAAACUACUGACAUUUACUAUUCACAGCAGGGAGUCCUAUAAAGACUCCCUGAGUCUUUUAAUCAUCUUUUAAUCUUCCCGCACCACUUUCCUAUGAAAGAGAAAUUUGUAGAUGGCACACUUGUUUCAUUUGAAAUAAGCACUCAUGGAUUUUCAUCCGAGUGAACACACAUUAAGUCCACAUUACAAUUAAGUGAAGUGAUGAAAUUUGAAAGAAUGUAUGAAGAUAGCUUUUUAUAGUAUAUAAAUUGUGAUUCGCGGACUUUUUCAUUACUUUGUGUGUAUAUAUUACUCCUUUCCUUGAAAAGCAGUGGCAGCCUUUUAAACAUUUCUAUAGUUUUUGUGGACCUAAACAAAAACACACACUAAAGAAGAAUUGUGAAAUUAAGAAUUGCCCGGUGUGUGCAGUGUGAUUUUAGAGUAAUAAAGUUUGUUUUCUGGUGAAUAAACUAUGUAUUUCCCAUUCAAAGUAACUUGCUUGAAAGUUAUAUUAAUAUAUGGAUACCUAAAGUGCUAAAAACACUUUACCAUUUUUUGAAAUAAUUUACAGUUCAUUUGCAAAAACAAAACAAGCAUUACUUUCAGACACCUACUGUAGCUGUCAUUUAUAUACCUUGGAGAACACAUAUGUUGGUGGGUAUCUUAUCACAGACUGUAAUAUUUUUUCAGUAAAAGUAUGUUGACAUUUUUAUUUUAUAUUGUUGCUAUUUAUAAUUAGUUUCAUUAAAAAUUCCAAACACUUGAAAAGGUAAAAUGAAAAUUUAAAAAAAUAGUCCAGGCUGGGUUUGGUGGCUCACAC
This 2344-nucleotide long non-coding RNA is filed under the name Homo sapiens (human). RNAcentral's name for it is "non-protein coding lnc-SOBP-4:1". Lineage: Eukaryota; Metazoa; Chordata; Mammalia; Primates; Hominidae. The record is from RNAcentral.